Molecule: ribosomal RNA, 465 nt
Filed under: uncultured bacterium
Lineage: Bacteria
Description: partial 16S ribosomal RNA
Rfam family: Bacterial small subunit ribosomal RNA
Source: RNAcentral
GAUGAACGCUGGCGGCGUGCUUAACACAUGCAAGUCGAACGGAAAGGCCCAAGCUUGCUUGGGUACUCGAGUGGCGAACGGGUGAGUAACACGUGGGUGAUCUGCCCUGCACUUCGGGAUAAGCCUGGGAAACUGGGUCUAAUACCGGAUAGGACCACAUUUUGGAUGGUGUGGUGGAAAGUUUUUCGGUGUGGGAUGAGCUCGCGGCCUAUCAGCUUGUUGGUGGGGUAAUGGCCUACCAAGGCGUCGACGGGUAGCCGGCCUGAGAGGGUGUACGGCCACAUUGGGACUGAGAUACGGCCCAGACUCCUACGGGAGGCAGCAGUGGGGAAUAUUGCACAAUGGGCGCAAGCCUGAUGCAGCGACGCCGCGUGGGGGAUGACGGCCUUCGGGUUGUAAACUCCUUGCGCUAGGGACGAAGCGCAAGUGACGGUACCUGGAGAAGAAGCACCGGCUAGCUACGUG